This 440-nucleotide ribosomal RNA is filed under the name Acinetobacter baumannii. RNAcentral describes it as "bacterial SSU rRNA". It matches the Rfam family "Bacterial small subunit ribosomal RNA", at positions 338 to 795 of the family's 1533-position model. The record is from RNAcentral. Lineage: Bacteria; Pseudomonadati; Pseudomonadota; Gammaproteobacteria; Moraxellales; Moraxellaceae.
CCUACGGGGGGCUGCAGUGGGGAAUAUUGCACAAUGGGGGAAACCCUGAUGCAGCGACGCCGCGUGAGCGAAGAAGUAUUUCGGUAUGUAAAGCUCUAUCAGCAGGGAAGAAAAUGACGGUACCUGACUAAGAAGCACCGGCUAAAUACGUGCCAGCAGCCGCGGUAAUACGUAUGGUGCAAGCGUUAUCCGGAUUUACUGGGUGUAAAGGGAGCGUAGACGGAUGGGCAAGUCUGAUGUGAAAACCCGGGGCUCAACCCCGGGACUGCAUUGGAAACUGUUCAUCUAGAGUGCUGGAGAGGUAAGUGGAAUUCCUAGUGUAGCGGUGAAAUGCGUAGAUAUUAGGAGGAACACCAGUGGCGAAGGCGGCUUACUGGACAGUAACUGACGUUGAGGCUCGAAAGCGUGGGGAGCAAACAGGAUUAGAUACCCCGGUAGUC